AAUUUUGGACAAUGGGGGCAACCCUGAUCCAGCCAUCCCGCGUGCGUGAUGAAGGUCUUCGGAUCGUAAAGCUCUGUCCUGGGGGAAGAAGGUCUUCGGUCUUGACGGUACCUAUUGAGCAGGUCCCGGCUAACUACGUGCCAGCAGCCGCGGUAAUACGUAGGGGGCAAGCGUUGUCCGGAAUUAUUGGGUGUAAAGGGUGCGUAGGCGGCCUUUUAAGUCUGAUGGGAAAGCCCACGGCUUAACCGUGGGACUGCCUUUGAAACUGGAGGGCUUGAGUAUCGGCGAGGGUAGUGGAAUUCCCAUUUUAGCGGUGGAAUGCGUAGAUAUUGGGAGGAACACCAGUGGCGAAGGCGACUCCCUGGACGAAAACUGACGCUGAGGCACGAAAGCUAGGGGAGCAAACA
Molecule: ribosomal RNA, 407 nt
Filed under: uncultured bacterium
Lineage: Bacteria
Description: partial 16S ribosomal RNA
Rfam family: Bacterial small subunit ribosomal RNA
Source: RNAcentral